GGGGACAGAAUGGCUGGCUUACCUCCACCUGAGCCUCCUCCCUGCCUGGCCGCUGUUGUCUCCAGGUUUGCUUGAUGUGGAGGAGCAGCCUCAUGUAUUACAGACAAAAUCAAGGCCCAUACGGGAAGCUGUUUCUAAGCCGCAUGCUCUUGGGGAGCUUGGUUCCACAUACAAGAAAACAUAUGCCCACAAUACCUCUCCUGAUGACCUCUGUCCACAUCCCAGCUCUAUUUGUGUUGGAUGAAAAGGUGCUGUUGACCCCAGCCUUCCAAGUCAGCAUCAAGUUGUGGUGAGAUGAUGGCGACCCCUGGAGGCCAAUGGUGAAACUGUCGACCUGAAGUUCCUGGCCAUGCCCCUAAAGGGCUUGGUGAGUGAAACUCCUUCUCAAAUAAAGUCAGAGACCCAGUGGUUAAUUGGGUACCCAUCCCGGGUGAGGAGGAGGUCUCUGCUGUGGGAGCCAGGAACAGGUGUGAAGAAAGACAGAGGACCACUGUGAGCCGCCCGGUAGCUCAUAGUCCUGAGGUCUGUCUGGACAGAAGAGCUCCACCCUUGGUCUUAUUGAAGCAGCUGACCUAAAGUACCUGCUUCAGCAUUCUAAAUUGCUUCCAGGAAACCUGAUGAGCACUAUCCAGUAUGUCUCCCUCCCACCUGUGACUUUUCAAGUGGCUUUUGGAGGUGAUCGGUGGCACUUAAGAUGAGUCUUAAGGUAUCCUAAUACCCCACCACCACCACACAUGCAUGAAGUGGCCAGCAGAGCACAGACAGAAGAGGGCAUAUGAAAGGCAUGUGUGAAAACAAGAUGUGUGCUGUGGACUUGGCAGGACACUGGCUGUGCCAGGGCUGCUUCCUUGAAAGACACCAUGAAAGCUCACGUUGCACACACAGUCACACAUGGGAAUGAUCCAGGGAGCAUGGAAUAGGAUGAGUUGCCUAGCUCAUUGAGAGGCAUCCAGGUGAAGAAGGAAGAGAUUAGUGGCCUUGACAUCUAGUGAGCGGCCUGUCACUCAUGGCUGGUCGGGUGAUUGAUUUUCUCCUUGGACGCAGAUAUAAUCACAGAGCAUGGUGACUGGACAAAGCAAGAUCAUUCUGUAGUCUUUACCCACUAAGCCAUCCU
Molecule: long non-coding RNA, 1114 nt
Organism: Mesocricetus auratus (golden hamster)
Lineage: Eukaryota; Metazoa; Chordata; Mammalia; Rodentia; Cricetidae
Exons: 6
Source: RefSeq, a predicted model, not a curated record